This 1306-nucleotide ribosomal RNA is filed under the name uncultured bacterium. Its description in RNAcentral is "bacterial SSU rRNA". It matches the Rfam family "Bacterial small subunit ribosomal RNA", at positions 28 to 1381 of the family's 1533-position model. The record is from RNAcentral.
AACGUACGCUGGCGGCACGCCUAACACAUGCAAGUCGAACGAAGUAGCAAUACUUAGUGGCAGACGGGUGAGUAACAUGUGGGUAUCUGCCCUUUGGCCUGGAAUAACACGAGGAAACUUGUGCUAAUACCGGAUAAGUCUUUACGGAGAAAGCUUUAUGCACCAUUGGAUGAGCCCGCACUUGAUUAGUUUGUUGGUGGGGUAAUGGCCUACCAAGACUGUGAUCAAUAGCUGAUUUGAGAGGAUGAUCAGCCACAUUGGGACUGAGACACGGCCCAAACUCCUACGGGAGGCAGCAGUGGGGAAUCUUGCACAAUGGAGGAAACUCUGAUGCAGCGAUGCCGCGUGAGUGAAGAAGGCCCUUGGGUUGUAAAGCUCUUUCGUCGGGGAAGAAAAUGACUGUACCCGAAUAAGAAGGUCCGGCUAACUUCGUGCCAGCAGCCGCGGUAAUACGAAGGGACCUAGCGUAGUUCGGAAUUACUGGGCUUAAAGAGUUCGUAGGUGGUUGAAAAAGUUAGUGGUGAAAUCCCAGAGCUUAACUCUGGAACUGCCAUUAAAACUUUUCAGCUAGAGUAUGAUAGAGGAAAGCAGAAUUUCUAGUGUAGAGGUGAAAUUCGUAGAUAUUAGAAAGAAUACCAAUUGCGAAGGCAGCUUUCUGGAUCAUUACUGACACUGAGGAACGAAAGCAUGGGUAGCGAAGAGGAUUAGAUACCCUCGUAGUCCAUGCCGUAAACGAUGUGUGUUAGACGUUGGAAAUUUAUUUUCAGUGUCGCAGCGAAAGCGAUAAACACACCGCCUGGGGAGUACGACCGCAAGGUUAAAACUCAAAUGAAUUGACGGGGACCCGCACAAGUAGUGGAGCAUGUGGUUUAAUUCGAAGAUACGCGCAGAACCUUACCAACACUUGACAUGUUCGUCGCGACUCUAAGAGAUUAGAGUCUUCGGUUCGGCCGGACGAAACACAGGUGCUGCAUGGCUGUCGUCAGCUCGUGUCGUGAGAUGUUGGGUUAAGUCCCGCAACGAGCGCAACCCUCACUUUUAGUUGCCAUCAUUAAGUUGGGCACUCUGAAAGAACCGCCAGUGAUAAGCUGGAGGAAGGUGGGGAUGACGUCAAGUCCUCAUGGCCCUUACGUGUUGGGCUACACACGUGCUACAAUGGUAUCUACAACAGGAAGCAAGACUGCGAGGUCAAGCAAAUCCUUAAAAGAUACCUCAGUUCGGAUUGCACUCUGCAACUCGAGUGCAUGAAGCUGGAAUUACUAGUAAUCGUGGAUCAGCGUGCCACGGUGAAUGCGUUCCCGGGUCU